CCCCUAAUCGGGGUUGCGGACAGUGUCUGGUGGGUAGUUUGACUGGGGCGGUCUCCUCCUAAAGAGUAACGGAGGAGCACGAAGGUUGGCUAAUCCUGGUCGGACAUCAGGAGGUUAGUGCAAUGGCAUAAGCCAGCUUGACUGCGAGCGUGACGGCGCGAGCAGGUGCGAAAGCAGGUCAUAGUGAUCCGGUGGUUCUGAAUGGAAGGGCCAUCGCUCAACGGAUAAAAGGUACUCCGGGGAUAACAGGCUGAUACCGCCCAAGAGUUCAUAUCGACGGCGGUGUUUGGCACCUCGAUGUCGGCUCAUCACAUCCUGGGGCUGAAGUAGGUCCCAAGGGUAUGGCUGUUCGCCAUUUAAAGUGGUACGCGAGCUGGGUUUAGAACGUCGUGAGACAGUUCGGUCCCUAUCUGCCGUGGGCGCUGGAGAACUGAGGGGGGCUGCUCCUAGUACGAGAGGACCGGAGUGGACGCAUCACUGGUGUUCGGGUUGUCAUGCCAAUGGCACUGCCCGGUAGCUAAAUGCGGAAGAGAUAAGUGCUGAAAGCAUCUAAGCACGAAACUUGCCCCGAGAUGAGUUCUCCCUGACUCCCUGAGAGUCCUGAAGGAACGUUGAAGACGACGACGUUGAUAGGCCGGGUGUGUAAGCGCAGCGAUGCGUUGAGCUAACCGGUACUAAUGAACCGUGAGGCUUAACCUU
Molecule: ribosomal RNA, 699 nt
Filed under: Escherichia coli
Lineage: Bacteria; Pseudomonadati; Pseudomonadota; Gammaproteobacteria; Enterobacterales; Enterobacteriaceae
Description: partial 23S ribosomal RNA
Rfam family: Bacterial large subunit ribosomal RNA
Source: RNAcentral